This 4407-nucleotide ribosomal RNA is filed under the name Triticum aestivum (bread wheat). RNAcentral's name for it is "partial small subunit ribosomal RNA". The record is from RNAcentral. Lineage: Eukaryota; Viridiplantae; Streptophyta; Magnoliopsida; Poales; Poaceae.
AUGGCCGACGACCUCACCGACGCCGACUUCUUCGACAGGCUCGUCGACGACGACGACGACGACGAGGCCGGCCCCGCCCCAGCCGGCGAGCCCGGGCCGUCGGCGGGGGCGUUGGGGCAGGUCGCGGCGCCGCGCCCUGUGGCCGGGGCGGCUCCGGAGGGCGGGUCGCCGGGCUCGGGGAGGGGCGCCGCCGUCCACACCACGGUCAAGCAGGUCCAGUGGGCCGCCUUCCGGGCCGACGGCGACGACGCCGGGCUCGACCCCUUCGGCGAUCUGGGGACGGGUGCCGCCCAGGAGGAGGCGUUCCUCGGCACCGCGGCCGCGGACCAGACCUCGGGGAGCUCCACUGUCGGUGGGGGCGUGGAUCAUGGCUUCUUCGGCGGGAGACAGAGCUUAGAUCAGGAUCAAGGCUUUGUCGGGGUAAGCUCGGAUCAGAGCACGGCCACGCAGCAGCUCGGCGGCACCGGUGCUGCUGUCGACUCCAUGGAUCCCAGGUACCUGGAGAGCAUUUACCCCGGGUGGAAGUUCGAUGAGGCGACGCAGCAGUGGUACCAGGCUGAAACUGUCCACACUGCCGGUGACAAUGCGCAGCAGCUGCAGCAGCAAUUUGGCACUUCCUACCUGCAGAACUCAGCGCAGGCCGGGCUGGAGACGAUCGCAGAGGAGAGCUCCGUCGCGGGGAGUGCAUCAGGCUGGGGACAGGGGCCUGUUUCGGAGUACCCGGCAAACAUGCUGUUCUACGCGGAGUACCCAGGGUGGUACUUUGAUACCGACAAGCAGGAGUGGCUAUCGCUCGAGGCGUACCAGCAGGCCGUCAUGCAGGCCAGCGCAGCUAGUCCUGUUCAGGUCGGCGCAAACCAUGGUGUUGUUGCGCCUUCUGGUGGGAUAAAUUACAAUGUCAACCAAGCAGAGGUUCCUGCUGUCAACAAUCAGGUGGCCCAACAUACCUACGGCCAGCAGAGCCAGUGGCAGCCGGAUGCAUUUGCUAACAGUAUUCAACCUGAAAGUGCCACGAAUAGCUUGGCAGGUAGUUUCUAUGGUGCCGAUCAGCACGCACAUGCCGAAUCCAUCAGCCCCUCCACAAAUCAUCAGGUUCCUUUUAACACAGCCGAAACUUCAACAAGUCAUUAUGGCAACCUUCAGAAUGACUACAGCACGAUUGGUAGCCAACAAGCCGGUUACAAUGGGUUCGAACCUUCAACGGUUUACCAGACCAGUCCAAAGGUGCUCCAGUCGUCCGCGGGUAACCAGGGCAGUUACAAGGCAUUUGAACCUACCGCUGCUCACCACAUUGGUGAGAACAAGGGUUCUACGCCUUUUACUGGUUUCCAGCCUGGUUACAAGGGAUUCACUCCUUCCACGGUCCACCAGGCUGGUUACAAGGGAUCUGGCACUUCUACGGGCCACCAUACGAAGACAUUUGAGCCUUCCUCAGGUCACCAGGCUGGCUACAUGGGAUCCCAACCUUCUACAGGUCAACAUGCUGGUUACAUGGGAUCCCAACCUUCUACGGAUCACCAGUCUAGUUACAUGGGAUUUGGAACUUCUACAAACCAGGGUUAUGGUGAUGCCAAUGGUUUUGUAAAUACACAAGGCUUUGUUCCAACAGGGAGUAUGCACAACAGCCAGAAACAAGCUCAUGCAAACACCCAAGCACACUUGUCUAACAGCUAUCUCGGUACUGAGAACUCCAUGAACUUCCCUCAGCAACAAUUUAGUGGUGCAAAUGCUUCGCACAUGCAAUUUGGUUACUCUCUGCGUGAAGAGAUGUCAUCGGCUGGACGCCCACCUCAUGCUCUGGUUGCUUUUGGGUUUGGAGGAAAGCUUAUGGUUAUGAAAGAAACAAGCUCAAUGGCCACAAACUUUAACAGUGGAAAUCAGGGGAUUUCUAGUGGAACGGUGUCUGUUCUUAAUUUAUCAGAGGUUGUCGCGGAUAAUGUCGAUGCUUCGAGGAUCACUGAUGGCAGUGCACUUAGUUACUUCCAUGUUCUAUGCCGUCAACCUGUUCCUGGUCCUCUUGUUGGUGGAAGUGCUGCAUCAAAGGAUGUAAAUAAAUGGCUCGAUGAGAUGAUUACAUGGUAUGCGUCUUCCACCAAUGAAUACCAGAAAGGUGAUCCUCGCAAGUUGCUUAUUUCAUUGCUGAAGAUACUAUGUCAGCACUAUGGGAAACUACGUGCACCUUUUGGGUCUGAUCCAUCACAAGAGGAUACAAACGGUCCAGAGAUGGCAGUAACCAAGCUCUUUUCAUCUUGCAAGAGAAGUAGCGAUCAUAUGGGAGAUUUUGGGUCGAAUGUUCCUUUCAUGCAAAAUAUCCCCUCUGAAAUUCAGAUGCAGGCUGUUGCGCAAGAGGUACAAGCUCUUCUAGUAUCUGGCAGAAGAAAAGAGGCUCUUCUGCAUGCUCAGGAAGGUCAACUGUGGGGGCCUGCAGUCAUACUUGCUUUACAACUUGGCGAUAAUUUCUACGUGGAUACUGUGAAGAAAAUGGCUCAGUGCCACUUUAUUUCUGGGUCACCUUUGCGAACAUUGUGCCUUCUCAUUGCUGGUCAACCUGCAGAUGUUUUUAAUGUAGAGAACAACAGCAACAUCAACUAUGAUACACUAGGUGCAUCCCAACAACCUAUGCAGCCUAAUCCUAAUGGUAUGUUGGAUGACUGGGAAGAGAAUUUGGCUAUUAUAACUGCAAACAGGACAAAAGGUGAUGACCUAGUUAUUACCCAUCUUGGAGAUUGCCUUUGGAAAGAGAAAAAUGAGGUUGCAGCUGCUCAUUCAUGCUACUUAGUCGCUGAACUAAACAUUGACCCAUACUCUGAAAGUGCUCGGUUAUGUCUCAUUGGUGCAGACCAUUUGAAAUGUCCUCGAACAUUUGCCAGCCCUGAAGCCAUUCAGAGGACAGAGGUUUAUGAAUAUACAAAGGUGCUUGGUAAUUCUCAGUAUAUCCUGCUACCCUUCCAGCCAUAUAAGCUAAUAUAUGCGUACAUGCUUGCGGAAGUGGGAAGGCUCGCUGAUUCCUUGAGGUACUGCCAAGCUUCUAUGAAGGUGCUGAAAGCUUCCGGCCGUGCUCCAGAACUGGAAGCAUGGAAACAAUUAUUUUCCUCCCUGGAGGACAGGAUACGCACUCACCAGCAGGGUGGGUAUGGAACGAAUUUAGCCCCUGCGAAACUAGUUGGAAAGUUAUUUACCUCGCUUGAUAAAUCUAUAUCCCGCAUGAUGGGCACACCAUCCGCAACACUUCCACCAGUGCCACAGGGCUCUGUUGGUGAUAAGGAAACCUAUUCAGCACCUGCAGCUGCAAAAUUUGUAAAUAGUCAAUCAUUAAUGACGAUGUCAUCAUUAACUGCAUCCCCUUCAGUGCAUUCUAUUACUGAAAUGGCAGAGAAUAGUGGUGGCGCUGGCAGGAAGAUUGCACACAACAGAAGUGUUUCUGAACCAGACUUCGGCAAAACACCAAAACAGGGUGCACGAUCGGAUAAUACACAGAGCAGUGCAUCAGGUUCAAGAUUUGGUUGGAUCAGCUCCACACUGCAAAAGACAAUGGGAUUUGUUUCAAAAUCCCGCCAGGCAAAAUUAGGGCAACAGAACAAGUUUUACUAUGAUGAAAAGUUGAAGCGAUGGGUAGAGGAAGGUGCUGAGAUUCCUGCCGAGGAGCCUCCUCUCGCUCCACCUCCAACAAAAUCCUCAUACCAGAAUGGAAUGCCAGACUAUAACUUAAAUGGCCCUACUAGUGGAAUGCAUACUCCUAAUGGAGUGGCAGAACGAAGAUCUCCAAAACAUGCAGAUCAUGGUUUGGGGAUGCCGCCAAUUCCACCCAGCCAGAACCAGUUUUCUGCUCGUGGACGAACGGGUGUCCGGUCCAGAUAUGUGGACACAUUCAAUAAGGCUGGUGCAACUGGAGCAGCCCAGUCUUAUAACAGGCCAGCUGCUCCGUCUGUGACACCACCUACCGGUGCUAGGUUCUUUGUGCCCACUGCGGCUGCUGUCGCUGCAGAGCAGAUGCCUAGCCAAUCAGUGGAGACACGUGGCGAAACCUUCCAACGGGAUGAGCGCUCAUCCUCACCGCCAGCGGAAACAUCAUUUUCAUCACCCCCACCAGCAGCACAAUUUUCAUCACCAAUGUCAUCUACCAUUCAGCGGUACCCGAGCAUGGACAACAUUGCUACACCGAACCAGGCACCCUGGAUGUCCCCGGGAAGUAACAGCAGCUCAUUCGCAUCAAGAUCACGAGCAGCAUCAUGGAGUGGAACAUACUCUGACCAAUUCAGUUCCACGGCAGGGGCUAGGUCACCUGACGGACCGACUGUGCCCUCGCCACAAAUGCCUGGCAGACCCCCCUCGCACAGUCGUUCAAACAGCAACUCGUCUGUGCAGUUUACCGGCUUGACAGAGGAUCUUCACGAGGUUGAGCUCUGA